UACGAAGGGUGCAAGCGUUGUUCGGAAUUAUUGGGCGUAAAGAGUACGUAGGCGGCUUAGUAAGUUGACUGUGAAAGCCCCAGGCUCAACCUGGGAAUUGCAGCCAAAACUGCUUCGCUAGAGUUUGGUAGGGGAUAAUGGAAUUCCUAGUGUAGGGGUGAAAUCCGUAGAUAUUAGGAGGAAUAUCGGUGGCGAAGGCGAUUAUCUGGGCCAAUACUGACGCUGAGGUACGAAGGCGUGGGGAGCAAACAGG
This 253-nucleotide ribosomal RNA is filed under the name uncultured bacterium. Its description in RNAcentral is "partial 16S ribosomal RNA". It matches the Rfam family "Bacterial small subunit ribosomal RNA", at positions 524 to 776 of the family's 1533-position model. The record is from RNAcentral.